CCUACGGGAUGCACCAGUGAGGAAUAUUGGACAAUGGGCGAAAGCCUGAUCCAGCAAUGCCGCGUGUGUGAAGAAGGUCUUCGGAUUGCAAAGCACUUUCGACGGGUACGAUGAUGACGGUACCCGUAGAAGAAGCCCCGGCUAACUUCGUGCCAGCAGCCGCGGUAAUACGAAGGGGGCUAGCGUUGCUCGGAAUGACAGGGCGUAAAGGGCGCGUAGGCGGUUUAUGCAGUCAGAUGUGAAAUCCCCGGGCUUAACCUGGGAACUGCAUUUGAGACGCAUAGACUAGAGGUCGAGAGAGGGUUGUGGAAUCCCCAGUGUAGAGGUGAAAUUCGUAGAUAUUGGGAAAAACACCGGUGGCGAAGGCGGCAACCUGGCUCGAUACUGACGCUGAGGCGCGAAAGCGUGGGGAGCAAACAGGAUUAGAUACCCCUGUAGUC
Molecule: ribosomal RNA, 440 nt
Filed under: uncultured bacterium
Lineage: Bacteria
Description: bacterial SSU rRNA
Rfam family: Bacterial small subunit ribosomal RNA
Source: RNAcentral